RNAcentral lists this ribosomal RNA (273 nucleotides) under uncultured bacterium. Its description in RNAcentral is "partial 16S ribosomal RNA". It matches the Rfam family "Bacterial small subunit ribosomal RNA", at positions 333 to 603 of the family's 1533-position model. The record is from RNAcentral.
UGUGGCCUACGGGGCGCAGCAGUGAGGAAUAUUGGUCAAUGGGAGAGAUCCUGAACCAGCCAAGCCGCGUGAGGGAAGACGGCCCUAUGGGUUGUAAACCUCUUUUGUCGGAGAACAAAACCCGGGACGAGUCCCGGACUGCGUGUAUCCGAAGAAAAAGCAUCGGCUAACUCCGUGCCUGCAGCCUCGGUAAUACGGAGUAUGCGAGCGUUAUCCGGAUUUAUUGGGUUUAAAGGGUGCGUAGGCGGUCCGUUAAGUCAGCGGUAUAAUUGC